This 305-nucleotide ribosomal RNA is filed under the name uncultured bacterium. RNAcentral's name for it is "bacterial SSU rRNA". It matches the Rfam family "Bacterial small subunit ribosomal RNA", at positions 499 to 801 of the family's 1533-position model. The record is from RNAcentral.
UCCUACGGGGGGCAGCAGCCGCGGUAAUACGGAGGAUCCAAGCGUUAUCCGGAUUUAUUGGGUUUAAAGGGUGCGUAGGCGGAUUGAUAAGUUAGAGGUGAAAUGUCCGGGCUCAACUCGGGAACUGCCUCUAAUACUGUUGAUCUAGAGAGUAGAUGCGGUAGGCGGAAUGUAUGGUGUAGCGGUGAAAUGCUUAGAGAUCAUACAGAACACCGAUUGCGAAGGCAGCUUACCAAUCUAUAUCUGACGUUGAGGCACGAAAGCGUGGGGAGCAAACAGGAUUAGAUACCCCGGUAGUCCAGAUC